AGAGUUUGAUCCUGGCUCAGGAUGAACGCUGGCGGCGUGCCUAACACAUGCAAGUCGAACGAAGCUCUUACGACAGAACUCUUCGGAGGGAAGAUGUAAGAGACUGAGUGGCGGACGGGUGAGUAACGCGUGGGUAACCUGCCCUAUACAGGGGGACAACAGUUGGAAACGACUGCUAAUACCGCAUAAGCGCACAGUACCGCAUGGUACAGAGCGAAAAACUCCGGUGGUAUAGGAUGGACCCGCGUCUGAUUAGCUAGUUGGAGGUGUAACGGACCACCAAGGCGACGAUCAGUAGCCGGCUUGAGAGAGUGAACGGCCANAUUGGGACUGAGACACGGCCCAAACUCCGUACGGGAGCA
Molecule: ribosomal RNA, 362 nt
Filed under: uncultured bacterium
Lineage: Bacteria
Description: bacterial SSU rRNA
Rfam family: Bacterial small subunit ribosomal RNA
Source: RNAcentral